Molecule: long non-coding RNA, 3894 nt
Organism: Bos grunniens (domestic yak)
Lineage: Eukaryota; Metazoa; Chordata; Mammalia; Artiodactyla; Bovidae
Source: Ensembl
GUGUCGGGGUGGGCCCGAAAAUCUAACUGUGGAGAAAUUCUUCCCCACAGACAAGUUUUGAGAAUCAGUGCCCUGGUCAAAACGGAUUUCAAGGCGGCCUCACCCGCUAACUUAAGGGAGCUGCAGGAGAGGGCUCACCUGCCCAGGAAGCCUCGGGGGCCAAUUGAGCCACGGUUCACUCGACCACUCGCUCGGUGCUUGGGAGAUGCGGGGAAGAGUGGCCCCGACCAGAGAAGAGGUCCACAAGCCGCUGUGGCAGAUGCAGACCCAGAGGCCUCCUGGCGCACAGGCUGGUAUGUGUCCCUUUCAGAAUCAGAGUCCUCUAAGACUUCUUCCUCUCAUGUCUUAACAUUCACAUUUCAGGAGACAAUAGAUUCUAACCUAAAAACCACUUCUCUGGCAUUUACUCUGUCAUCUCAGACAAGUUAUUCAGUCUCGUUGGGGGUGUGUGCUCAGUCCCUAAGUGGUGUCUGACUCUGCAGCCUCAUGGACUGUAGUCCGCCAGGCUCCUCUGUCCAUGGGAUUCUCCAAAACAAGAAUACUGGAGUGGGCUGCCAUGUCUUAUUUAAUCUCAUUAAGCCUCAAAUCUCAGUUCCUUCAUCUGUUUUGAGGGAAUAAUACUAUACCCACCUUAUAAUAUUGGGUGAAGAUUAAAUGGGGUAAAAUAUGUGGGAUGCUUAGAAUCAUACCUGGCAUUUACUAUGAACUCAAUAUUAGCUGUGACUAAUGCAUAGCUUCCCAGGUGGCACAGUGGUAAAGAAUCCACCUGCCAAUAUAGAAGAGAAAAGACAUGCAGGUUUGAUCCCUAGGCCAGAACGAUCCCCUGGAGUAGGAAAUGGCAACCCGACAGUAUUUUUUGGCUGGAAAAUUCCAUGGACAGAGGAACCUAGAGGGCUACAGUCCAUGGAGUUGCAAAGACUUGCACAUGACUGAACACACACACGCAAUGCACAGCAAAUUCCUGAAGGCUUACCCUAUGUUAUAGAAAAGCUACUAGGAUUAUUAUUACAGAUGUGGGGCAUAGUAAUGUUUGCCAACUACACAUACCUUGAGAUGGUAAGAAUGAAGGAUGAAGGGCUUCUCUGGUGACCCACUGUUAAGACUCUGACAGGUUCGAUCCCUGAUCAGGGAAAUAAGAUCCUGCAACCCUCAUGGUGCAGCCAAAAAAAACCCCAAGUCAAAACAAAAAUGAUGACCCAUUUGCUAAGUUCCCUUUGAUUUUAGGUUAUUGACAGGUACUUAAAGCUAGAGAGAUUUUCAGUUAUUCACAAUUACUAAUAGUAUUCCCCCAUUUCUUUGAGUUCUAUCUAUAGUCCAAUAGAAAAAUAGCUUUUAUAGAUGGUAUUUUAUAGUCAAAUAGCAAUUUGAUGGGGAGUGGGGUUAUAGGCCAACAGAAUUAUACAGGUUCAUUUGGGGCAGGAGUUCUCAACCUAGGGUCCAUGAAAUUCUAGAGCAGCAGUUCUAACUACAAUAGAACUUCCUAUAAUGGUGGCUACUGAGCACUUAAAAUGCAGCUCGUGUUGCUAAGACCCACUAGGUAGUGGCUCCCAUCAACAGUUCUAGAGGGUCACGUGGAUGGAUUUGGAGAUUUUAUAAAACUUUUGAUAUUGUACAGAAAACUACAUGUGUGUGUGUAUUUUCUAGGAAGUGAAUCCAUGGCUUUCAUCAAGUUCUCUAAAUGAUGAAAAAGAUUAGAAAACACUACUUUAAGGCUUGGUAAAAAGUAAGAGAAGUAAGUAUGCCCUUGAGUAACCACUGUUGAUUUUACUUUCUUAAACAAUUGGUACUUGAACAAUGCAGUGAGAGUUUGGGGCUCUAACUCUCUGCAUAGUGGAAAAUUCACGUAUAACUUUACAGUUGGCCUUCCAUAUCUGCAUCCAUGGAUUCAGCCAACCAUGACACAUGGAUUGUAUAGUACUGUAACACGCAUUUAGUGAAAAAUUCCCAUGUGUAAGUGGAUUCAUGCAGUUCAAACCCAUGUUGGACAAGUUAACUAUAUUUUCUUGUCCUUAGCUAUCAGUGGCUCCCUAAUUUGUAGAAGAAAAAAUAAUUUUGAAUUUCAGAUUUAAAAAAGCCCUACCACUCCGGGUCUUAGUUCUCAUGGGUACUGAAUUCUGUCUCUGGAGCUGUUUUCAGUCCUUGCCUGGGUCCCAUAGAUUCCUUUGUACUCAAGGGGGUGGCGGUGGUAGUUGUCUGUGCCUGGUUUUCAAACUGACAGCUGAUGAAAUCUACAAUGUUAAGAGACCCUGAUACUGGGAAUGACUGAAGGCAGGAGGAGAGGGGAUGACAAAGGACGAGAUGGUUGGAUGGCAUCACUGACUCAAUGGACAUGAGUUUGAGCAAACUCCAGAUGGUGAAGGACAGGGAAGCCUGGUGUACUGCAGUCCAUGGGAUCACAAAGAGUUGGACACAACUGAGCGACUGAACAACAAUGUUAAGACGUUCAAGUCUGUGCUGUUUGGUGCAGCAGCACAUAAGCAGCUCCUGUCAUUCUGAAAUGCUUUCCCUGACUCUCACCUUAGGAUAUCCUGGCCUGCAGGUUUCUACCACCUAAGCCUUUGCCAUUUGCCACUCUCCCCAGUUUUGAUUUUUCCCCAUUUAACUACAGCUUUCCUAUGAUCUAUGACUUCAGGCUUGUCUUGACCUGUAAUACAUUACUCUUUGAUCCCAUGCUUAGCUUUGAAAUCCAAACAGAAAAAUAGUGAUUUUAAAUGGCAUUUCAUUUGAAACACAUUUUAUUUUUAUUAAUCUUAAUCAUAUUUCCCUUCUCCAUGAAAAUAUAAAAUAAAGCAUUUUGAUAAAAUGUUCUGAAAUUUAAAUUUUCUUUCGAGUUAACAUUAACCAAACAAACUUGCUAAUAUUGUUUGGUAAUGUUAAUAUUUAAUAUUUCCGUCUAUUUGGAUCUUAAAUCACUAUUUAUCAACCUACAUUUUAUUCCAGAACAGUAAACACUGUAAGAUGUGAGGAGGGAGAGGAAGGGACACAGAAAGAGGGAGCAAACAGUAACUGCUCCAGUGACAAAGGAAUGGUAGAUAUGGCAGGAAACUGAGCUGGAGAAAAUUUUACUAGUUGUCCUCAGAUUGCCAGAAACACUGUUAAGAUAGUUGUUUUUGUUAAUUUCAAAAUAAUCCACUUCUAGACUUAUUGAGCUGAAACAUGUAAAGGUUAUUUUUUGCUGGUCACCAACCAGCCCAGUUCAGAUACCAAUUUUUAUUUGAAAAUCAUUUAACUGAAAUUAGUCCAGGACACAGUUCCAAAACUCCUACUUUCACCUCUCUCUCUUUUCUUGGGAUUCAAUAAGACAAUGCUUCUCAACCUUAAAAGACUCAGAAUUUCAGCAAAAUUUACAUUUUAGUCCUAACUUAGAUAAUUCUAUUAUAAAAAUAUUCAGAAGAUAAUAUAUAAAGCUAACUUAGUUUAUUGAUUUUAACACAGAAUUAACUGCUUUUCCAUAGACUGGAGAACAACAGCCUUAAGCCCAAAAGGAGCCUUCCACUUGUUUUAGUUUUGUCCUAAUGUUGAAAAAUUGCCUGACAGAAGUUCCAGGUGAAAUAAUCCAAACUGAAAACAGAAAUCGAUAUAGAGGUCAUCCCCAGAAUUCAGUCUGAAUUCAGAAACACCAGUGGGGACCUGAACUAACCUGCUUCCUGUAUUUAUCAUGGCCAGGACAUCCAGUACCAAAACCGGCCUGAGCUUCCCCAGGGAGCAGAGAAAAGAGUUACAGGUGAAGAAAUUGCAGGAUUCCAAAGAAAUGCAACAAUGAUUUGACUUCAAAACAGUUGGGUGUUCAAGGAAAAAAAAAAAGAAACAAAAUUUCAGUCUUAAUUGGAAGAAAAAGUUUUGGGAUCUACUUAGGAGUUUUUAUCAUCCUAUAACUGGUUUAACACAACUCUU